Molecule: ribosomal RNA, 440 nt
Filed under: uncultured bacterium
Lineage: Bacteria
Description: partial 16S ribosomal RNA
Rfam family: Bacterial small subunit ribosomal RNA
Source: RNAcentral
CCUACGGGCGGCAGCAGUGGGGAAUAUUGCACAAUGGGGGAAACCCUGAUGCAGCGACGCCGCGUGAGUGAAGAAGUAUUUCGGUAUGUAAAGCUCUAUCAGCAGGGAAGAAAAUGACGGUACCUGAUUAAGAAGCCCCGGCUAACUACGUGCCAGCAGCCGCGGUAAUACGUAGGGGGCAAGCGUUAUCCGGCUUUACUGGGGGUAAAGGGAGCGUAGACGGCAGCGCAAGUCUGAAGUGAAAUGCCGGGGCUUAACCCCGGAACUGCUUUGGAAACUGUGCAGCUAGAGUGCAGGAGAGGUAAGUGGAAUGCCUAGUGUAGCGGUGAAAUGCGUAGAUAUUAGGAGGAACACCAGUGGCGAAGGCGGCUUACUAAACUAUAACUGACACUGAAGCACGAAAGCGUGGGGAUCAAACAGGAUUAGAUACCCUAGUAGUC